UACGUAGGGUGCGAGCGUUGUUCGGAAUUAUUGGGCGUAAAGGGUGCGUAGGCGGUUUGGUAAGUCUGAUGUGAAAUCUAUGGGCUCAACUCAUAGUCUGCAUCGGAAACUGCCGGGCUUGAGUAUGGGAGAGGUGAGUGGAAUUCCUGGUGUAGCGGUGAAAUGCGUAGAGAUCCCCAAGAACACCAGUGGCGAAGGCGACUUACUGGACUGUAACUGACGCUGAGGCAUGAAAGCGUGGGGAGCAAACAGG
RNAcentral lists this ribosomal RNA (253 nucleotides) under uncultured bacterium. Its description in RNAcentral is "partial 16S ribosomal RNA". It matches the Rfam family "Bacterial small subunit ribosomal RNA", at positions 524 to 776 of the family's 1533-position model. The record is from RNAcentral.